Molecule: ribosomal RNA, 893 nt
Filed under: uncultured bacterium
Lineage: Bacteria
Description: bacterial SSU rRNA
Rfam family: Bacterial small subunit ribosomal RNA
Source: RNAcentral
GUGUCAGCAGCCGCGGUAAUACGAAGGGACCUAGCGUAGUUCGGAAUUACUGGGCUUAAAGAGCUCGUAGGUGGUUAGAAAAGUUGGUGGUGAAAUCCCAAGGCUUAACCUUGGAACUGCCGCCAAAACUUUUUGACUAGAGUAUGAUAGAGGUAAGUGGAAUUUCUAGUGUAGAGGUGAAAUUCGUAGAUAUUAGAAAGAACACCAAAUGCGAAGGCAGCUUUCUGGAUCAUUACUGACACUGAGGAGCGAAAGCAUGGGUAGCGAAGAGGAUUAGAUACCCUCGUAGUCCAUGCCGUAAACGAUGUGUGCUAGACGUUGGAAACGUAGUUUUCAGUGUCGCAGCGAAAGCGUUAAGCACACCGCCUGGGGAGUACGACCGCAAGGUUAAAACUCAAAUGAAUUGACGGGGACCCGCACAAGCAGUGGAGCAUGUGGUUUAAUUCGAAGAUACGCGCAGAACCUUACCAACACUUGACAUGUUCGUCGCGACUCUAAGAGAUUAGAGUCUUCGGUUCGGCCGGACGAAACACAGGUGCUGCAUGGCUGUCGUCAGCUCGUGUCGUGAGAUGUUGGGUUAAGUCCCGCAACGAGCGCAACCCUUACUUUUAGUUGCUACCAUUCAGUUGGGCACUCUAAAAGAACUGCCAGCGAUAAGCUGGAGGAAGGCGGGGAUGACGUCAAGUCCUCAUGGCCCUUACGUGUUGGGCUACACACGUGCUACAAUGGUAUUUACAAAGGGAUGCAAAGAGGCGACUCUAAGCAAAUCCUGAAAAGAUACCUCAGUUCGGAUUGCACUCUGCAACUCGAGUGCAUGAAGCUGGAAUUGCUAGUAAUCGCGGAUCAGCACGCCGCGGUGAAUACGUUCCCGGGUCUUGCACACACCGCCCGUC